This 2711-nucleotide long non-coding RNA is filed under the name Marmota monax (woodchuck). Lineage: Eukaryota; Metazoa; Chordata; Mammalia; Rodentia; Sciuridae. The record is from RNAcentral.
CUUCUGCCCCUUCCUAUGCCCCCCACACCAUGGGCAUCUGCCAAGGGCAGAGACUGUCUUGCCUCUUUGAUACUUUUCUGCAUAACUUGAACUUGCAGGUCACCUCUGAACAGGGUACCCUUGUCCCCAUCCCUAGGCCUUGUUACCCUGUCCCUGCCUCUUCCUCCUCCUUGCCCACCUCUCGCCUUGCGAUGUGCCCAGGGUCUGCAACCUAAUGGGCAGUGCUUGGAGCUGAGGCAUGAGUGAGUAUGUAUGUGUGUGUGUGAGAGUAUGUGUGAGUGUGUGCGCGUGCGUGUGUGUUGUGGAGGGGCAGAUGAGAAAUUUUCACCCUCUCCUCCCACUGUGGGGGCUUAGCAGGGAGCAAGUGAGGGACUCCGGGUGUUUUUUUGAACAUCUCUCAUUACCUUGUGGAUUUGGUGGCAGAGCCAUCUAGCUUUGGAAGUUCUCCACCCUGGGGCCUGGACCACCCCUUUCUGCAAUCAGUCAAGGGCAGCAGACUAGCUAGUGUGCCACCAGACACACUGCUGCCUGGUCUCCUUUUGAGAAAGAGUGUGGCGCCCCCUGCAGGCUCCACCGGGAAGUGCAUUAUCAUUUAGUAAUGUGGCCUCACCUGGAGGGGAGGAAAGCAGCUGGAGUGCCAUGUAUUUGCCACCCUUGUAUUCAUUUCAGUAAGAUGUGGACCUGAGAGUUAGGAUUCUCAAGAAUCCACCUCUGCUCGGCUCCUUCCUCUGGACCCUAACUAGAGUCAGAUGCUGGGUCUGGGAGGGUUCUUGACACCUGGAACUUACCAAGUCCUGACCCCUACUCCCCCAAAGCUCUGGGCCCUGCACUGUGUUCCCCCAACCUGUCCCUACCAACCCCCUCCCUGAAGCCACACCACAGGAGCCUUCCCAGCAGGCAACCUGGACACCAGGGUUUUACAUGGGAGGGUGAGGGGAGCCCCAUGGCAGGAACUGGGUUUGGGUAGGAGUGGGGUCCCCAAAGAGUCAAACCAAAGCCCAGUAUUAGAGGAAGAGGGCAGAGUUGGAGAGGGCCAGGAGGGGCCGGGAGCAAGUGAUUGGCAAUGAGGAAGAGAGGUGGGGAGAGUGGGAGGUGCAGAGUUACCAGAGACAGGGGAAAGGAGAAGACAGACGUGCGAGAGGAGGGGCAGAAAGAGGUGGCGAGAGUGUGGAGGGAGGGCGGGAGGAUCUGAGAGACGUGCCGGAAAAGGAAUAGGGGAAGAGGCAAAUGGAGAGAAGAUUUCCAGGGUGCAUACCUGAGAUGCCUGGGAAAGAGAGUGUGAAGGAGAGGAUGAAGGAAGCAAGGUGACAGGGAACGAGGAAAGCGGCUGUGUGAGAACAGUGGGAAAGAGGGAGCUUGUUCCUUCAAGGACAGCUGCUGCCCAUGGGUGCCACCAGACCCCUGUGCUUCUGUGGAGAGGUUAGAACUGACCCCCUCAGAUGACAAGCAGCUGGAGGUCUGGGGCCCAAGCGGUCAAGGCCCCAUCUCUCCAAGGAUUGGAGUGGGGGAACCACAACCAGAAUGGAAGGAGCCCAGGCUCCUGCUAUCAAUGGAUUAGCGCUGCUGGUUGGUAGGGAAGAGGGAAGCUAAUUCCCUUUUGGGUGGUCUGACGAGGUUCCCAUGCCACCCUCCAUACAGCCAGAUGUGGCCCGGGUAGAGCAAGAGGCAACCUGGAGAUGCACCAAGGAAUCUGGGGUUAGGAAAGCAAGGUUGGGUGGGCUGAAGUCCAGCAUGGAGAAGGGACAGAAAUUGCAUUGGGGGCCAAACUAUAGCCUCGCCCCUAAGAGUUCAGCAGAGGGUGGGGGCAGAUGCUUCAGCCAAGAGCCCGGGAGAGGCCUGGUCAAGCACAAGACUCUGAUGACUCUCCUGGGGCAAUGAAGACCUCAUGGAAAGGCAGGCCUAUGUGGGCAAAGUAGCCUUGGCCUUUGAGAGGAAGUCCUCUGACCAAGAACCUCCUGGCCUUGUGUCCCUGAAAGAGUCCUAUGUCAACUGUGACUGGAUCAGGGGAUCUGGCACAAUCCAGUUUUUUCUACCCUGGAAAUUCUUCCAAGAAGAGUGAAAGCAGCCGCAACCUGGAAGUGGUUCAGUCUCUGGCCCACGGUGCUGAUCAGUGAAGUCCUUCUAGGUUAUGGGAUGUGAAACCAGAACCUAGGGAGGAAAACUUUCCGAAGGGGUGAGAAUGUAGGUAGGAUUAAGAUCCUUUUUAGGCCUGGAAAGUGAAUAAGGUGAGUGUCUUUAGAUAGGGCUAGAUAGAAAGUGUCCCUGGCCUUCUGAGAUUCCUGCUUGAGACCAGGGAGAAUUGCCCUCCUCCAGUUUCCAGUGUGAAUUAAGAAAGGGAAACCCUGUCUUUGGAGAAGCUGGGGUCUUCCCAGCACUAGAAACUUCCACAGGCCCCUGCCUGGUUCAGGGCUAGCUUUUGGGAGGGACUGGAGUUUCCUGAGAAAGGAACAGGGAGCCAUAGUCCUUCCCCAGGGCUCUGUCGGAGCUCUGAGGGCCUGUGCUGUGUCAUUAGGGUAGCUUGGUGUCAUCUACACCCCAUUAGUAAGUUCCGUCUGAAUGUGUCCUUGCCGUUCAUUGUCCAGUUUGGUACCAUUUAUUUUGGACCUGACCCCUUCUGCUGCUGCUGGGUUUGAGCUUCAGUGCAGGUGGAAUGACAUUCAAAUAAAGAAACACUUUAUAUCACCCAUUCUGACUGCUGUUUCUGAGUCCUG